GCAAUGGCUUGUUCUGAAAGACUUAAUGCACAGAAGACUAGCGCUCCAUGUGGGCAGGGUCACUGCAUGAGGAAAGGGGCAAAAAGGGUGAGCACUGACUUCCAGGGGCCACAGCUGUCCCUGAAGUUUCAGAGCAGAACAACUUUCCUCAAAGUUCCUCACAUCCCAGAUAAACAAAAGGGACAUGUGAAUCAAACAUGUCCAGUUUAUACUUUCCAAGAUGUCACUCUACCUCCUUGGGAAUUAUAAUUUGAAAUCUUUCAACAUGAGAGGAAUGUUAAAAACAGUAGACAAGGGUUCCUCUCAACACACGGUUUGGGGGCUCCUUUUUUAUUUAAAUAAAAUCACAUUAUUAUAUACUUCCGAAUCUCAACUCUUCUUGCUCAAUAAUACAUAAAAAAAUCUCUCAGAGAAAAAAGAUACAG
RNAcentral lists this long non-coding RNA (425 nucleotides) under Marmota monax (woodchuck). The record is from RNAcentral. Lineage: Eukaryota; Metazoa; Chordata; Mammalia; Rodentia; Sciuridae.